GGUAGUCCGAAUCUUGCGGGGAAAGUCUUUCCUUUUUCUUGUUGAGGCGGUGGCGGUAAAUCCUAAUUUUAAGAGGUAAACUAUUUCCUAUAAAAUCAUACGCGUAUCUGAUACGAAGUAAAUCCAAGUGACCGUUCUCUGAAUGGGGCUUUUGAGAUCGGUUUCGAUCACAUUGGCUGGUGCGAGCCAGCUUGAAGAGGAAGCAGCUAUAUAGUGCCGGUCAGGGCCUUGAGAGAACGCUUAGCAGCAUCGCCGGCGCUCGUCCCUAAUUGAUGUUUUCGUUCAAUUGGUACGUGUUUCGGCGCUUACAGUUACUAUUCCGCCAUUCCAAUCCCUAACGAUCCACUUGUUGCUAGGAGUUCAUGACUGUUCGGAGUCACGGCGGCAAGAGAGAUAAAGCCGGAUUUUCUCUCGUUGCUGCCGGAAUCAGUAUUGGUCUCAGGUUUUUCUGGUCAGCCCCUCACUGAUAAACCUGACCUGGAAAGCCGUUUGAGAUAAUGAUUAAGUUAUUACUCUUAUAUCCUUAUCGUGCGAAGCCUUUUGGAGAGAAGAAGAUGAAAACUAGUAGAGAAGAGAGUACAAUGGAGGAGGAAAGGGUUUCAAGGAAGCAGGUUGUUGAGCUGUCAUCUCUCUCCUCCACCCCUUGGUUUCGACAACCCACUUAUGCCAGUAGCUAAUACUUACGAGGAUGAGGAGGAUUUAAGGAGGGAAUCCAUUCAUGGCGGUAGACAGGAGGUUAAAUAGAAGACGAAGAUGAUGAGAGUGAGGUUAUUGACAGACUUGGACAAUGGUUUGGUCAAGGGAGGUGAAACUGCAUGGUUGAAGUUCGACGGGAUUGCCCAUAUCUCGAUACUGUUAAUCAACAAGAAAGCAAUUUCCAUUCAACUUCUGACUACAUAAUUUAUGUACUGACAAUUGUAUUUAUUGGGGUUUAGUCCUAUACUGCCAAGUCAUAUAUAAUUAAUGCUUUCUACCCAAGCAGUUAUAUUUUCCGUCAAUUCAUCAGCAUAAUUAACGAUGUAGAAAGAAAAUUUGAAAAAUUUUACGUCUUAGAAGCUUUGGAGUUGACCAUAGGUUCUUAUAUUGGUUGCUAGGCCCUUGUUAUAGUCCAGGAAUACAUAAUUAUAGAAUGGAAGUGAAAUGUUCUCCUUGGUAGACUUAUAUUCUACCACGUAUAUGCUUACUAUAAUGUACUUUUAGCUUGAUUUUGGAAAUUCAGAGUGGUUGUUGUCUAAUGCACACAGGUUUGAGAUGCAGGACUUGCAUGUUUCUGAAACCCUUUGUCAAAUGAUUGCACUCUUAGAGGCUUAUGUGCAGAUAUACAAGCAGAAUCGAUAGCGAAGCGAAGCCUAGUCAUAUCUUAAGUUUUUACUGGACUGCAUUGCUGUCCCACUUUUGGUCUAGGCAAGAUAUCUCAACUUUCUCCAGAAGGUAGAUGAAACAAAGGGUAAACAUUGCCAUCUGUGCGGGCACUCAAAGAUUGUGACUGGUUUUGUGGAGAAUAUGAUAUGAUUUCAGGUUCUUGUUAUGUAUGUGUCUGCCUACUACUUUUUCUCUGUUUACCUGGUUAAUACAGAAUCGACGGGAGUAGAAAGGAAGAUGUCUGCUGGACAUGGAAGUGGGAAGCAAUCAGCUAAGCUACCAACCAGUGGUUGUUGAACUCUGGCUGGCAUAUGAGCGAACAUGGUCGGGUCCUACAAACCUACAGUUCCAAUCAAAUCAGCAUGAUUCCCUAAUCGUUAAACAUGUCCAAUCAAUAGGUAUAAUUUCUUCUGGUACCUCUUAUCCCGAUGAUGUUAUUCUUGUGCUACUUUCUUCAAUCUGGUCCAAUUUCACCACUAAGCCCAUAGGGCAAGCUGCCAAUGUCUAGAGCGAGUGAGCCAGAAGAGACCGAUGUACCUAAUUGAUGUUUUCAUUCAAUUGGUACGUGUUUCGGUGCUUACAGCUACUGUUUAUCUUCAAUCACCUGUUGCAUUUGGAUAUUCUCUAGUUCUUGGUAAAAUGUUUACCGACUUGAAAACGAAAACAAAUUUGUUAUCUUAGCAUUCCUAUACUGCCAAGUCAUAUAUAAUUUCAAGCUUUCUACCCCGAGUAGUUAUUUUUUAUGUCAAUUCAUUAGCAUCAUUAACGGUGUAGAAAAAAUUUCUUCAAAAAUUUUACUUCUUAGAAGCUUUGGAUUUGACCAUAGUUUCACUUUCAUAUACUUGGUUGCUUGGUCCUCGUUAUAGUCCGGGAAUACAUAAUUAUAGUAUGAAAGUGAAAUGUUCUCCUUGGUAGACUUAUAUUCUACCACGUAUACGUUUAUUAUCGUGUACUUUUAGCUUUAUUUUGGAAAUUCAGAGUGAUUUUAUUUGGAUCUGCCUCCCAGUUAAUGCUAUCAGGAACUUGAGGAAGUAGACUGUAUGUAGUUAAUCCUCUUGGAUUUAUUUUUGACUACCAGUAGAAUGACUAAUGUUUGUAGUGUUAUAAUAUGGAAUCUGUAUAUAGGUUGUCUAUUUUUGCGACAGAUGAUUGAACAUCUUGAUGCUAUGCUUGAAAUGGAAAAUAUGGUAUCAUCAUUUGAAUUAACAACUGGUUCAGAAAAAUAUGGUUCAUGUGGGGGGAUGAUUUUGGAUUUGUUCAAUGGCAUAUGUUUGUAUAAACACUAGCUUCUCUAUGGCAUGAUUUUUUCAAUUCGGUCGUAUCAACCAUAGCUAUGAAUUUGAAAGGAAUAUCUUAUGAAAUUGGCAAUGGGUUGUUGUCAUUUGUGUUCAUCAGUUUAAUCAUGGCCAUAGUACAUUUAUGGAAGGUUUGAACAUUAUGCAAUAAGAGAGGCUUUUGUUUGUCUAGACAUUUGACAUUGGGCAGGACUUAUGUACGUGUUCUCCUUGCUUUUCGCAA
Long non-coding RNA from Tripterygium wilfordii, 2880 nucleotides. RefSeq lists it as uncharacterized. The transcript has 4 exons. NCBI's taxonomy places the organism in Eukaryota, Viridiplantae, Streptophyta, Magnoliopsida, Celastrales, Celastraceae. The record is from RefSeq and is a predicted model, not a curated record.